This is a non-coding RNA of Aspergillus heteromorphus CBS 117.55, 116 nucleotides long. The record is from the annotation of a RefSeq genome assembly. Lineage: Eukaryota; Fungi; Ascomycota; Eurotiomycetes; Eurotiales; Aspergillaceae.
GUCUUCAUGGUGUAGUUGGUUAUCACGUGGGUCUCAUAUUUCCAUCUCAAUAUGACUAGGAAGCAUUCAACUUUCUGGAUAUCCCAAGGCCGGGAGUUCGAACCUCCCUGAGGACA